GCUGGGGCAUGGUGAUGGGUGCCUGUAAUCCCAGCUACUUGGGAGGCUGAGGCAGGAGAAUUGCUUGAACCUGGGAGGUGUAGAUUGCAGUGAGCCAAGAUUGUGCCACUGUACUCUAGCCUGGGUGACAGAGCAAGACUCUGUCUCAA
This 149-nucleotide non-coding RNA is filed under the name Nomascus leucogenys (northern white-cheeked gibbon). The record is from Rfam by way of RNAcentral. Lineage: Eukaryota; Metazoa; Chordata; Mammalia; Primates; Hylobatidae.